This 468-nucleotide ribosomal RNA is filed under the name uncultured bacterium. RNAcentral's name for it is "partial 16S ribosomal RNA". It matches the Rfam family "Bacterial small subunit ribosomal RNA", at positions 28 to 507 of the family's 1533-position model. The record is from RNAcentral.
GACGAACGCUGGCGGCGUGCUUAACACAUGCAAGUCGAACGGAAAGGCCCUGCUUUUGUGGGGUGCUCGAGUGGCGAACGGGUGAGUAACACGUGAGUAACCUGCCCUUGACUUUGGGAUAACUUCAGGAAACUGGGGCUAAUGCCGGAUAGGAGCUCCUGCUGCAUGGUGGGGGUUGGAAAGUUUCGGCGGUUGGGGAUGGACUCGCGGCUUAUCAGCUUGUUGGUGGGGUAGUGGCUUACCAAGGCUUUGACGGGUAGCCGGCCUGAGAGGGUGACCGGCCACAUUGGGACUGAGAUACGGCCCAGACUCCUACGGGAGGCAGCAGUGGGUAAUAUUGCACAAUGGGCGGAAGCCUGAUGCAGCAACGCCGCGUGCGGGAUGACGGCCUUCGGGUUGUAAACCGCUUUCGCCUGUGACGAAGCGUGAGUGACGGUAAUGGGUAAAGAAGCACCGGCUAACUACGUA